GUUCAUUGAAAAAUCACCCCUGGUCUUGGUCGUGGCCUGGGUUGAGAUUCAGCACCCAGAGCCACAAAGAGACUCAGUUCACUCUGGCUGCCAUGGUGUGGGAGGGUGAAACCUAGGCCGAAACAAGG
This is a small nucleolar RNA of Nannospalax galili (Upper Galilee mountains blind mole rat), 128 nucleotides long. The record is from Ensembl. NCBI's taxonomy places the organism in Eukaryota, Metazoa, Chordata, Mammalia, Rodentia, Spalacidae.